RNAcentral lists this ribosomal RNA (426 nucleotides) under Aricidea ramosa. RNAcentral's name for it is "partial large subunit ribosomal RNA". It matches the Rfam family "Archaeal large subunit ribosomal RNA", at positions 2043 to 2674 of the family's 2987-position model. Lineage: Eukaryota; Metazoa; Annelida; Polychaeta; Paraonidae. The record is from RNAcentral.
CCCUUGCCUCUUAAUUAGUGGCUAGUAUGAAUGGAUAAACGAAAAUCUCGCUGUCUCUAUAAGUUACAUAAAAACUAUCCCUCAAGUGAAGAGACUUGAAUUCCAAUAAAAGACAAGAAGACCCUGUAGAGCCUAAGCAAAAAUUAAAUACAAAAUAAAUAAUUAAAAUCCCUUCUUUAAUUUAGCUCCAGUUGGGGCGACUUAGGAGCAACAAAACCCUCCUUACCUUUAAAAGGCCUUUUAGCCCACCAAAUGAUCCAUUAUUUCUAUGAUUAAAAACCAGGCUACCUCAGGGAUAACAGUCUAAUCUUCCUUAAGAGCCCAUAUUGACAGGAAGGAUUGGCACCUCGAUGUUGGCUUAGGGGCACUCCUUGGCGCAGCAGCCCUGGAAGUAGGUUUGUUCAACCUUUUAUACCCUACGUGAUC